CCUACGGGCGGCAGCAGUGGGGGAUAUUGCACAAUGGGGGGAACCCUGAUGCAGCGACGCCGCGUGUGGGAAGACGGUCCUCUGGAUUGUAAACCACUGUCCCCAGGGACGAAAAUGACGGUACCUGGGGAGGAAGCUCCGGCUAACGACGUGCCAGCAGCCGCGGUAAUACGUAGGGAGCGAGCGGUGUCCGGAAUUACUGGGUGUAAAGGGAGCGUAGGCGGGGAUGCAAGUUGGGUGUAAAAACUACCGGCUCAACUGGUAGUCGCACUCAAAACUGCAGCUCUUGAGUGAAGUAGAGGCAAGCGGAAUUCCUAGUGUAGCAGUGAAAUGCGUAGAUAUUAGGAGGAACACCAGUGGCGAAGGCGGCCUGCUGGGCUUUUACUGACGCUGAGGCUCGAAAGUGUGGGGAGCAAACAGGAUUAGAUACCCGUGUAGUC
This 440-nucleotide ribosomal RNA is filed under the name uncultured bacterium. RNAcentral describes it as "partial 16S ribosomal RNA". It matches the Rfam family "Bacterial small subunit ribosomal RNA", at positions 338 to 795 of the family's 1533-position model. The record is from RNAcentral.